RNAcentral lists this ribosomal RNA (333 nucleotides) under uncultured bacterium. RNAcentral describes it as "bacterial SSU rRNA". It matches the Rfam family "Bacterial small subunit ribosomal RNA", at positions 1 to 334 of the family's 1533-position model. The record is from RNAcentral.
CGACUACAGUCAGAGUUUGAUCCUGGCUCAGGACGAACGCUGGCGGCGUGCUUCAUACAUGCAAGUCGAACGAGAAGUCUACUUCGGUAGAUGGAAAGUGGCGGACGGGUGAGUAAAAUGUAGGAAAUCUGCCCUUAAGAGGGGGACAACAGAGGGAAACUUCUGCUAAUACCCCAUAUGAGCGUAGCUGAAAUGCUAUUCUUGAAAACUCCGGUGCUUAAGGAUGAGCCUGCAUCUGAUUAGCUAGUUGGGGGUGUAAUGGACCACCAAGGCGACGAUCAGUAGCUGGUUUGAGAGGAUGAUCAGCCACAAUGGGACUGAGACACGGCCCAU